UCAAGCCAGUGAUGAUAAAAGUUAUCCCUGUCCGAACUAAAGUGUGGAGUUAUGGUAACCUGAGGCUUGA
Small nucleolar RNA from Acanthopagrus latus (yellowfin seabream), 70 nucleotides. RefSeq annotates it as small nucleolar RNA R38. The record is from RefSeq and is a predicted model, not a curated record. The transcript has a single exon. Lineage: Eukaryota; Metazoa; Chordata; Actinopteri; Spariformes; Sparidae.